RNAcentral lists this ribosomal RNA (248 nucleotides) under uncultured Eubacterium sp. Its description in RNAcentral is "partial 16S ribosomal RNA". It matches the Rfam family "Bacterial small subunit ribosomal RNA", at positions 524 to 771 of the family's 1533-position model. The record is from RNAcentral. Lineage: Bacteria; Bacillati; Bacillota; Clostridia; Eubacteriales; Eubacteriaceae.
UACGUAGGUGGCAAGCGUUAUCCGGAUUUACUGGGUGUAAAGGGCGCGUAGGUGGGUGCUUAAGUCAGGUGUGAAAACUCUGGGCUCAACCCCGGGACUGCUUUUGAAACUGUCAGGCUGGAGUGCAGGAGAGGAAAGCGGAAUUCCUAGUGUAGCGGUGAAAUGCGUAGAUAUUAGGAGGAACACCAGUGGCGAAGGCGGCUUUCUGGACUGAAACUGACACUGAGGCACGAAAGCGUGGGGAGCAA